GCCUCAUCAACUACGAUAUACAUAUAUAGCUUGACAAAUGAAUCUUAGUAUUUCACAUCAAGUAUUCAUAUACACAUGAUUAGACUUUGACCGUCAACGGAGUGACUCUGGGUACGGUUGCUAACAUUUAGUGUCAUGUUAAACCUGCCGAGCAACGGAUAGGGAUGAGCACUUCGUCCUAGGAUCCAAUAACCUUUAACUUAGAAAACCUAAAACAUGAAGUUCAAAAACGUGAGUACAAACCCAGUGAGUGAACAUCAGAAGGGAACAAGCAACGUUAAGGAAAGUUUAGAAAUCAUGAUGCACUUAUUUAAAAACAAUGCAAUUUAGUUUAAGUUUUUGUUAAAACCCCUCAAUUAAACCCUUGGUUAUCAAAUCAUUUAACGAUGAAGGAUCCAUGCUCAACAUGAAAUUUGAAAGAGUGAAAAUUUCAGCAAAUAUCUAAACAAGGCAACAUAAUAGACUGAUUCUCACUGCAGCGGAAAGCCAUACGCGAAUUUCUCACUGUAGUGAGAAUGGAUCCUCGCUGCAGCGAGAUUUAGGGCUGAUAAGGUUAAAAGGGUUUUCAUAUGUCACAAAGAUCCAUUCCUGCAACAUUGAACACCAAGUUGCACACACAUUGAUAAUAACCAAACUUUCACAAAAUUCAAUACAAUCCCAUGUUAUUUUUAUAACUUUUUCCAUAACAUAUAUAAACAAUUUCAUAGCAUAUAUGAUCAUCACUAUGGCAUAGAUAUAUACAAGCAUGUAUACACCCAACGGUCCUCAGCCUAUGUGUCCCCCCACAUCGUACAUAGCUGGAUAUAGACCAUCACCAGUCCUCAGCCCAUGUGUCCUCCCACAUCGGACACAGCUGGAAUCAUCACCCAUCGGUCAUCAGCUUAUGUGUCUCCCCACAUCGCACAUAGCUGGAAUCACCACCAUCAGUAACGGUAUGUGCCCUCCCCACCACACACACUCGGUUAUAACCAUCACACAAUAUUAUUUAUCAAUGCACAAUAUAUGUUCAUAUAUAUAUAUAUAUAUACCAACAUAAUAUAGGAGCACAUGGAUUCAUCUUUUUUACACAUUUCACCAUUUCACAACAUCAAAACAUUUUAUUAAGGGCUUGUUCCCAAGCACCCAUUUUUAAUGAAAAGUUGGAUAAAAUCAUUCAAAUGUUCAUCCAAAUACAUUUACAUUUCCCAAAACCAUUUUGAAAUGCAAGUUCACUCAUCGGUCUUUGUUAACGUUUUGAUGGACACUAACUUCGACUAAUGUGCCGAAUGGAGGUGUAGGGUUUCAUUGAAACCUAUCACACACAACAACAUCACAAUCAACCUAACUUGGCAUUAAUACCAUUCUAAAAGCUAUAUCCUAGAUCAAGUUCCAUUAGUCAUUUUUAACUAGCUUCCAACUACUAUUAAAUGGCUAUUAUAUGCACUACUUUAGUCUCACUAAAAUGAAUAAUCAACCUCAACAAUAAAAUACUCACAAAUAUAAUUACUAGAUAUCAUCAACCACUAAAGAGAUUAACCUUAACCCAUACUCACCUUGGUGGUCUUUGUAAUUGAAUUCUCUUUAAAGAUUCUUCAAGCUAGUAAGGGAAAUCACUCACUUUCUCUCUCCACCCAUCCAGCGAGUGAGAGAAAGUAUGGUAGUAAGACUUUUAAGGGUUUUUAAGGUGAAGGAGUAAAAGAGUAUGAAAAACCCUAUAACAGGGUGUGUAAAGCAUGAAAUUUGAGGGUAGUUUGAGAGAGCGAUGGAAGCUUUGAGAGAAGUUUUCAUGGAAGAUGAGAGAAAGGUG
Molecule: long non-coding RNA, 1786 nt
Filed under: Theobroma cacao (cacao)
Lineage: Eukaryota; Viridiplantae; Streptophyta; Magnoliopsida; Malvales; Malvaceae
Description: long non-coding RNA (TCAC_LNC002296)
Source: RNAcentral